Molecule: long non-coding RNA, 282 nt
Filed under: Gallus gallus (chicken)
Lineage: Eukaryota; Metazoa; Chordata; Aves; Galliformes; Phasianidae
Source: RNAcentral
UGAGCUCUCUCUGGAGCCCCAAGACCACAGGCAAAACACAGUACGUGACUCUUACUUGUACAGGCUGUUGUUUGUCCUGCUUCAGCAGACUGGUACCAGUUGCCUGGAUCCCGACAGGCUUCUUCCUCAACACGUGCUGGCGUAGGAGUUGUAACUCACAGUUUCUUUCAGCCAAAGCAUGCACCAUCUUCUCAGUAGUGGCUUUGCUCCACUGCUCCUUGGUGCUCAUGGCCUGCAGCAGCUCCCGGAUUUCAGCAUCAUGCUCCAUAGCUUGACGAUUCC